RNAcentral lists this long non-coding RNA (583 nucleotides) under Lathyrus oleraceus (garden pea). Its description in RNAcentral is "Pisum sativum (pea) long non-coding RNA (PSAT_LNC005952)". Lineage: Eukaryota; Viridiplantae; Streptophyta; Magnoliopsida; Fabales; Fabaceae. The record is from RNAcentral.
AAACACCUUCUUCCUCCUCAUGAAAGACUAAGAUUAUCUUCUCCAAAACAUCAUCCGUUCAUCACUUAGCACAUAAACCUCUUAUCUCUCUUUCACUCAACUCUACUCAUGACAACCAUAACCUCCGAUGAAUUCCAACAUAAUAUUUCAUCAUUUUCACUCUUAACAACAAAAGAAAUAUUUCCAUAAAAACACCACUCCUCACGUGAACAAUAUUGUUGCACACCACAAUAAAACUGUGCACUUCCGAAAACGGUUCAGCCAAGGAAUGCAUGACGACCAUCGCUGAACCUAGCUCCGGCGAGACAUCACUAAGUUUUGACGCGGUUGCAUUCAUCCUCGUCGUCGUUAAGCCUUAGUUCACCACAUCGUCCUUCAUUUGCUUUCCGACUCUGACGGUUCUUUCCUUCUCCCUCUCUUUGCCUUUUCAUUUUUAACAUUAAAAAUAUUGUUUUGGUUUUAUAUGAUGUUGUCAUUAAGAUUUAUGUUCAAUUAGUUAUAUAUAGGUUUAAGUUUUCAAUUUUUGAGCUUAUAGAAAGUUGUUUUUAUAUGUAUUUAUUGACUGUUUUUUGAGUUUAUAUAU